RNAcentral lists this long non-coding RNA (623 nucleotides) under Oryctolagus cuniculus (rabbit). RNAcentral describes it as "lncRNA (ENSOCUG00000031097.1)". The record is from RNAcentral. Lineage: Eukaryota; Metazoa; Chordata; Mammalia; Lagomorpha; Leporidae.
ACCCUAAUCGUGGGCUCAGGCUCCGGGUCGGGGUGAAGGAGCUCCUCCUGGUGGGGUCGGGGUCCGGGUGGGGGUGACGGAGCCCCUCCCGUGGGGUCGGGGUCCGGGUGCCGGAGCCACUUUACUCGGGGUCCGGGUCGGGAUGAUGGAGCCCCUCCCGUGGGGUCGGGGUCGGGGUGACGGAGCCCCCACGGCGGGGUCGGGGUCCUGGUGACAGACCUGCCUGCGGGCCCGGGGUCCCGGGUGGCCUGCGUCUGAGGGGCGAGGCUGGGGUCCGGAGUCCGGGUGGCCUGCGUCCGCGGGGCGAGGCCGGGGUCCGGCUCCAGGUGGCCGGUGUCCGAGGAGCGAGGUUGGGGUCCGGGUCCGGGGUCCGGGCGGCCUGCGUCUGCGGGGCGAGGCUGGGGUCCGGCUCCGGGGUUCGGGCGGCCUGCGUCCGCGGGGCAAGGCUGGGGUCCGGGUCCGGGAGGCCUGCGUCCGCGGGGCGAGGCCGGGGUCCGGCUCCGGGAGGCCCGCGUCCGAGGGGCGAGGCCGGGGUCCGGGGUCCGGCUCCGGGUGGCCUGCGUCCGAGGGGCGAGGCGCGAGGCCGGGGUCCGGCUCCGGGUGCCUGCGUCUGAGGGCGAGGC